RNAcentral lists this ribosomal RNA (467 nucleotides) under uncultured bacterium. RNAcentral describes it as "partial 16S ribosomal RNA". It matches the Rfam family "Bacterial small subunit ribosomal RNA", at positions 28 to 507 of the family's 1533-position model. The record is from RNAcentral.
GACGAACGCUGGCGGCGUGCUUAACACAUGCAAGUCGAACGGAAAGGCUCCAGCUUUCUGGCGUACUCGUGUGGCGAACGGGGGAGUAACACGUGGGUAAUCUGCCCUGCACUCUGGGAGAAGACUUCGAAACUGGGUCUAAAACAGGAUAUGACAUUUCUCCUCAUGUGGUUUGGUGGAAAGUUAUUCGGUGUUAGAUGGGCGCGCGGCCUAUCAGCUUGUUGGUGGUGUGAUGGCAUACCAAGGCGUCGACGGGUAGCCGGCCUGAGAGGGUGAACGGCCACAUUGGGACUGAGAUACGGCGCAGACGCGUACGGGAGGCAGCAGUGGGGAAUAUUGCACAAUGGGCGGAAGCCUGAUGCAGCGACGCCGCGUGAGGGAUGACGGCCUUCGGGUGGUAAACCUCUUUCAGCAGGGACGAAGCGUAAGUGACGGUACCUGCAGAAGAAGCACCGGCUAACUACGUG